This 1074-nucleotide long non-coding RNA is filed under the name Homo sapiens (human). RNAcentral's name for it is "long intergenic non-protein coding RNA 1473". The record is from RNAcentral. Lineage: Eukaryota; Metazoa; Chordata; Mammalia; Primates; Hominidae.
CAGGUGAAGGACAUGUUUGCUUCCCUUUCCACCAUGAUUGCAAGUUUCCUGAGGCCUCCCUAGCCAUGCUGAACUGUACUCAGAUGAAAACUACUUGCAUGAAAGAAUUGAGACAACAAGAUGAAUUAGAGGAGCAGCACAGUUUUUAAAGUAUCUAGUGUAUAUAAGGACAAGCCAUUCUCAGUCAAGCAUGAAACUGAAUCUGAGGAAAAGAAGAAAGCUGAAAACACACUGAGGAUUAUGGGAGAGGGGCAAGUGCAUGAAGCUUCUCAAUGACAUACAGACACUCUAAAAGCUCAAGAGAUCAAUUAUUCAACUUCAAGAACUGAAAUUUGAACACAGAUUUUGAGCUUCCAAAUCAGGAGAAAAAGAAGUGUUCUAUAAGAAGUUUGGACAAGACUCUGCAAGAAGUUAAGAGGUCCUUAAAGGCAACUGUGAAUUAACGGAGACUAGUUUUGAGAAAAUCAGUCCUGAUUUGUUUCUCCUGGAGUUUUCUUCUUUAUGUGAUCCUUCAUAAAAGCUGCUAAUAUGGGAAAGAUUGAAAUCAGCAAGUUUCUGGCUGUAAGCUAAAAGAGGCUCUUGAAUCAUAUUUCCGCCUGCUUAGCAAAUUUCUCUUGCGACAAUUGGAUGUUAUUUGGGGUUCCAUACUAGCAGGAAGAAGUACAAGCAAAGCUAAGUCAUUUUGAGAAUAAAUAUUAUCUCUCUAUAUAUUUGUAAAUGUUAUUUUCUUUUUUUUUGAGGUUUAUGAUUGAUCCUUGGCAUGUGUCCCCUUGUGUAUUGCUCUACUAAAAAUAGCCUAAAAAAGAAUUUUCCCCUCGAUGUGGAGCUUCUCUUUAGUUACAAUUCUACUUUCUCCUUCACUUGAGUAUCAGUCUUCAGAGAACUACCAUAACAAAGGAGUGGAUACAGAUAUACGCAAAAAAGUCUAUGAGAAAAUUAGUACAUUAAAUUUGUGAAAGCUCAUUUAAAGUAAUUUUCUACUAACAAUUUUAAUCAAAUGUAUUAAUCAUAUUUCUAUGCUUAGUGAUGUUAAAUAAAAAUUUAAAAGGUGGCAAUCAAUAAACAGAGAUAAAA